Pseudoliparis swirei is the source of this 2875-nucleotide long non-coding RNA. RefSeq lists it as uncharacterized. The transcript is spliced from 3 exons. The record is from RefSeq and is a predicted model, not a curated record. NCBI's taxonomy places the organism in Eukaryota, Metazoa, Chordata, Actinopteri, Perciformes, Liparidae.
GUUCCGUUCAGAGAGUCGUCUCACUCACUCACUCAACCGCCUCUCACCAGUGAACACGGAGUUUUCUCUGGACGAAAAGCAACUCAACAAGCACCCAGUGAACAACAGGAUCACAAAGAAGCUGGCCGGCCGCUGCAGGGGGACAGCUCUCUGGGUGACCUCCAUCGGCAAUGAGGUCGGCCAGAUACUGACCAGUGUCCUGACGGUGCAGGAGCGGCCGGGACUGGACGUGAUGGUCUCCGGAGUGUCUGUGUUGGAUGCGUACCCUAGAACUCGCAGGAAUACAGGACUGGUACCUCUGUAGUAUCCUUAAGAGAGGCAGCGGCCCCCGAGGGCCACCAGUAUGUACGAUUCCCGUCAACAUACUGUAGCCUUGUGUCCGGGUUGAGCUGGCGGGACUCGAGUGGAGUUGGCCGAACUUCACGUUGAUCCACAUCUCCGGUGGAUGACGAAUCUCAAAAAACGUGCACGGGUUCUUAUUUUCUCCUCCUCCCCCUUUAAGUUGGUGGAGGAGUCUGAGUCGCUUGCUCCUUGACCCCGAGCCAAUGAGCGGUUCAAUUGUGUUUAGAUUAGAAUAGAAUAAAAUAGAAUAUAGAAUACAAUAUAGAAUAGGUAGGUAGGUAUUCCUUUAUUAGUCCCACUGUGGGGAAAUUUCAAAAUCCCAAAAGUUUAGAAUGAAUUAUUUUGUAUGUGUUGCAUCUUCAAAUUCACUGAUUCUUCUUUCAGUUUUGUACAUCACGCUUUGGUGGGUCAAAGUCGGCCUCACUAAAGACACAUUUAGUGGCUAGGAGGACCCCCAGCCCUUCUCCUCCUCCUCCUUUCAUAUCCUCUGUGAGGACACCCAGCAGCCCUACUGGGAACUAUGGCAUUGCAGAAGAUGCUACACCGGGGAGGAAUCAGCCGGUGGCUGAAGGAGCUGUGCAGAGCUGAGAGAGUGUCCUGCAUGGGGUGGGAGGCGUGGUUCAUCAGAGACGAGAGCUUUGCCAUCAUCCUCCCGUCCCCCACCACCUCCACAGUAUCCAGAGGACACCCAGCACGCUGCUGGCCUUCUUUAGCAGCUUGUUCAGCCUCUUCCUGUCAGCCGCUGCCAUGCUGCUGCUGCUCCAGAAGACCACUCCAUAGAAGAUGGCUGAUGCCACCACAGAGUUAAAGAAGGUCUUCAGCAGUGCUCCCUGCACUCCAGAGGACCUCAGUCUCCUCAGCAGAAAGAGUCUGCUCUGUCCCUUUUGAUAGAGUGCGUGUGCGUGGGCAGUCCAGUCCAGUUUGUGUUUCAGGUGAACACCCAGGUCCUUAUAAGAUUUUACAAUCUCAAUGUCCAGUCCCUCGAUGCUCACUGGUACCGGAGGAGAGCGUUUACCACAGCGGAAGUCCACCACUCGGUCUUACUAGAGUUGAUGUGGAUUUGAGAGAUGUUUGUAAGUUUACUGUACAAAAGGCUAACAAAGGGAUUAAAAGAAGAUGUAUUUCUGUUGGAGGAGUCCAAUUUUGGACUAAUGUUGAAAUGGAUGUAAGAAUGGUGAACUCCUUUUUGGUUUUCAAGAGAAUUAUUUAUAGAACAAUUCUUGAGUUAUAAAUGUGAUUAAUGUGACCGAAACACAGGUGGCGGCGCGACUCUGCCUGUCUGACCGACAUCUCUCAGUGGAUGUCUGCUCACCACCUGAAAAUCAACCCUGACAAGACCGAGCUACUAUUCCUUCCAGGGAAAGGCUCCCCCACCCACGACCUGACUACCACCUUCAACAGCUCUGUGUUGGCCCCUACCCUGACUGCCAGGAACCUCGGGGUGACACUAGACAGUCAACUCUCCCUGACAGCCAACAUCACUGCGACGACGCGUUCCUGUAGGUACAUGCUGCACAACAUCAGGAGAAUACGGCCUCUUCUUACUCAGAAGGCGGCACAGGUUCUGGUCCAGGCUCUGGUCAUUUCGCGCCUUGACUACUGCAACUCCCUCCUGGCUGGUCUACCUGCUAAGGCCAUCCGACCUCUGCAGCUCAUCCAGAAUGCAGCAGCUCGACUGGUCUUCAGCCUCCCGAAAUUCACCCACACCACUCCGCUCCUCCGCGCUCUCCACUGGUUACCGGUGGCUGCUCGCAUCCGCUUCAAAACACUGGUUCUGGCGUACCGUGCUCUGAACGGAUCGGGCCCCGUCUACAUUCGGGAUAUGGUCACACCGUACACCCCGGCACGUUCGCUCCGCUCGGCAACAGCCAAUCGACUUGUGCCUCCUGCACCUCGAGCUAACCACUCGAAAUCCAGACUGUUUGUUGUCCUGGCUCCUCAGUGGUAGAACAAGCUCCCCACUGACAUCAGGACAGCAGAAAGUCUCAACAUCUUCCGCCGGAGACUGAAAACACACCUUUUCCGACUAUAUCUGGAUUAAAACACAGAUUUGCACUUCAGUGGCACUUAAAUAGCUCUUAUUGUGGUACUUUUGUAGUUCGACUAUGUUGAAGAAAUGUUACUUACUGUAUUCUUGUUGUUCUUUGUUUAUACUCUAGGUUGAAAUGCACUUAUUGUAAGUCGCUUUGGAUAAAAGCGUCUGCUAAAUGACAUGUAAUGUAAAAUGUAUUUAUAUGGAAGAUGUAUGUGAAAGUAUGUGUGUAUAUAUAUAUAUAUAUAGUUUUAUUUUUUAUUUUCUUUGAUAUUUUUUCUUUAUUUUACAUACAUUUUCUGAUUUAUUUGAUAUUAAUUUAGGAUAGGAAUACAUAAGCAUUUUUUUCUUCUACCUAUACCUUUUCAGUCUUUCUGUUUUGUAUAUUAUAUAGAAUAAUAUUGUAUUUGAUUGACUGAAUAAAAUACACAACACACAUGGUGUAUGAAACUUCUAAAGAAAUGUCUGAGUGACCGUCAAUUAUUAAAUAUUAUAAAAUUA